This 253-nucleotide ribosomal RNA is filed under the name uncultured bacterium. Its description in RNAcentral is "partial 16S ribosomal RNA". It matches the Rfam family "Bacterial small subunit ribosomal RNA", at positions 524 to 776 of the family's 1533-position model. The record is from RNAcentral. RNAcentral also lists the same sequence under 1 other name.
UACGUAGGCAGCAAGCGUUGUUCGGAGUUACUGGGCGUAAAGGGUGCGUAGGCGGCCCUGUAAGUAUGGUGUGAAAUCUCCCGGCUUAACUGGGAGGGUGCGCUAUAGACUGCGGGGCUCGAGUGUGGGAGAGGAAAGUGGAAUUCCUGGUGUAGCGGUGAAAUGCGUAGAUAUCAGGAGGAACACCGGUGGUGUAAACGGCUUUCUGGACCAUAACUGACGCUGAGGCACGAAAGCGUGGGUAGCAAACAGG